UCAUCCAUCUAUAAAAAAAGCAACAUUAGAAAUAGAAUUACUGGAGCAUCGCCUUAAGGAAAUAAAGAAAUGAACCACACCGCAGACCAGUGCACACAAUUUAAUAAAAGUAAUUCUGAGAAAUCCUG
Polypterus senegalus (gray bichir) is the source of this 128-nucleotide long non-coding RNA. RefSeq lists it as uncharacterized. The transcript has 2 exons. NCBI's taxonomy places the organism in Eukaryota, Metazoa, Chordata, Cladistia, Polypteriformes, Polypteridae. The record is from RefSeq and is a predicted model, not a curated record.